Cucurbita maxima (winter squash) is the source of this 401-nucleotide long non-coding RNA. RefSeq lists it as uncharacterized. NCBI's taxonomy places the organism in Eukaryota, Viridiplantae, Streptophyta, Magnoliopsida, Cucurbitales, Cucurbitaceae. The record is from RefSeq and is a predicted model, not a curated record. The transcript is spliced from 3 exons.
CCCCAAACUAAAAAACACAAGAAUGCUAGGUGGGAUGACCUGCACCAUGUUUCCUUUGCAGGAUGUCAUGUUUGGCCUCAAGUUUCCCUCACCUAGAAGAGAAGUUAUGGGUACCAAAAAGAUUUGCAGGAUGACAUAUUUAAGUAUGCACCGAGCUAGUGACCUUUAUGGUCUACCAUGAAGAGUAGUCUAGGGCCACGAAGGAACAAGAAGCGAGUAAGUUACCUUAGCCAAGAAUCAAGAACCUCUUAAGACCUCCCACGGUUCAACAUUCUCAUGACUUAGACUAUGCUAAUCAACAACUGAAUUUCACACCACCAAUUAAACGGAAAUCAAGAAGACGUUACAAAGAUGAGGCGUUUCACAGAUAUAAAAUGGGGAACUGAUAUCCAAACAUUCCA